Molecule: long non-coding RNA, 1449 nt
Organism: Cryptotermes secundus
Lineage: Eukaryota; Metazoa; Arthropoda; Insecta; Blattodea; Kalotermitidae
Exons: 4
Source: RefSeq, a predicted model, not a curated record
GGACGUUUCGCUCCGGUUCGCGUCUCGUUCGUGUCAUAUUACCCCGCCACCGCUGACCGGUAAACAUUUUUACACCAUCAAGAUAAGUUGUUAAUCUUUUUCUGUUUUUCCUCUCGUUCGUGUAGUGGUAAUUUGAUAACAGUUGUCGAUAUGUAACUUUGUAUCUAUGACUGGAACAGUGUAGAAACAUUUCUAGGUUAGUAAUGUGUAAAAUAGAUUUGUUGUAUAAUUCGUAGCAGUUGGUCUACGACAGUGAUUAAACCAACUAAUUUCUCUUAUAUAUUCUUCAAGGCACGAACUGAAAAUUCUUCGUCAUCAGAAUUAACAUAUCUUCAAGUUAAUUUGUAAUUUAUUGUGUAAUGUGUUUAACAAUUUUGAAAGGACUUACAUAAGAAAUUCAAGGCUUGUUCCAAUUCGAUACUAAAAGAUUUUAUCGAUCAAUUUCGUAUCGAUGGAAUUCCUUCUCGAAGAACUUAAACAAAAUGAAGCUAUUACAUCAUUCAACCUGUCUGUCUCGUCUUUAUAAAAUAAUACCCAACUUGUUUUAGUAAAACCUUCUCUCAACGUAGCAUCAGACAAAGGGCUUCUAUUAAAUUUAGUCCCAUUCGUCAUAGUCUGGAUCAAUUCUUAAACGGAGACUCGACAAAGUGACUGAAUUGUGACAACCUCACUCCAUCCUUUCAGCCUAAUCCUUCCAGCAUCUUCAAAGAAGAAACAUGUUUCCUUAUAAAGGAAUUAAGCCGCUUUAUGUACAAAGGCAAAAUUGCAUCUAAGCAUAAAUACAUAUGAUUAAUGUGCAGAAACUAAUCAGUUAUUCAACAGUUGAUUAAUCUCUUUGAAGUUUAGUGUGAUAGGCACAGAAAGGAAAAAUAACGUUCAUGUUCUCUUUAUCAGCUACUGCCUGGUUUCCUUUUCAACUUUUUUACAAACAGAACGUUGUGAUGUGAUAUGUUUCCAUCAUCAAGUUGUGAAUAAUCAACAAAGUGACUAUAGUUUGAAGUAUGUAAGGGAAAAAUAGAAGACUUGCACGAAAUAUUAGUGCAGACGACAAAAGCGUAAAGCGAAUGAAAGCCUAUUGCAGAAACGUCAUACGAUUUUUGGACUGUACGAUAACAGUAACAAAUACCAGAAGCUUCUCACGUACCACAUAUCUGUCCUUCUCCCAUGGAGGAGCAAUAAAGCCUAAUACUACUUGAGGACACCAGUCAAAGCAUGCCCAGAUACAGCUUUCUACAGCACCUGUAUCUCUGAGAUCUUCCACCUCUAAGAGAACUGUCUGUUUACUCAGCUGUUGGUAUGUCUACAUUCCUCUGCGACCGAAAUGUGUGUGGGUGGCAGACAUAACCUAUAUGAUUACGUCACGAGUUACGUAGGAGCCGUUGGCACAACCCUGUGAAAGAGGACCUGGUCAGGAGAAGCAAACAUUCAGCUCUGGAAAGCGUUGCAUUA